ACGGGUGAGUAAUGUCUGGGAAACUGCCUGAUGGAGGGGGAUAACUACUGGAAACGGUAGCUAAUACCGCAUAAUGUCGCAAGACCAAAGAGGGGGACCUUCGGGCCUCUUGCCAUCGGAUGUGCCCAGAUGGGAUUAGCUAGUAGGUGGGGUAACGGCUCACCUAGGCGACGAUCCCUAGCUGGUCUGAGAGGAUGAUCAGCCACACUGGGACUGAGACACGGCCCAGACUCCUACGGGAGGCAGCAUG
This 250-nucleotide ribosomal RNA is filed under the name uncultured bacterium. RNAcentral's name for it is "partial 16S ribosomal RNA". It matches the Rfam family "Bacterial small subunit ribosomal RNA", at positions 102 to 353 of the family's 1533-position model. The record is from RNAcentral.